CUAAAUAACAUAAAAUCCGUAAACCUAUCUAAAUUCCCUAUAUUAACCACCUAAUCUAUCCUAAACUAACCAAAUUAGAGAGGAAUUAGAGAGGCUUACCAUUACCACGAAAUGGAGAGGAAGUGGAGAGGAAGUAGAGAGGAAAGAAAGAGUGAGCGCUCGGGGGUAUAUAUAAGAUUACAUAUCAUCGCAAUUUCCUUGUAAGGUUACGACGAAAUAGUGAGCAAUUACAAAGGCCCGCGUUUUAUUGUACGAGGAAAUAGCGAUGAAUUACAAAGGCCCGCGUUUCUAUAUACGAGGUAUUAACGACGAUUUUAAUAUCUUUGCAAAUUCCUCGUAAGGCUACGACGAAAUAGCGAGCAAUUACAAAGACCCGCGUUUUAUUGUACAAGGAAAUAGCGAGGAAUUACAAAGGCCCGCGUUUUUAUAUACGAGGUAUUAACGAGCCGCGCUUUCCUAUAAAUAUACCCACAACUCUCCUUCUCAAACCACACACAAACUCCUAAAUCACACCCUAUCUCAAAUCACACUCCUCGGCAAAAUCCUAUUCAAAUUAUAAAUAUUUGAAAAAAAGGAAGAGAAGAAGAUAUUAGAAUUCAUGUGGGCGAGACUUCCGUAUUAUAAUUGCUGGAAGUCUUGCCACAUGUGAAUCUGGUACUUUUCUUCUUUUUCUUUUUUUUUCUAGUUUUUACACUACGAGGUAUUUACGACGAUUUCGUCCUACGUGGAAUUAACGAGGCCCGUGUUCUUUAUUUAUUUUACGAGGUGUUUACGACAAUCUUGUCCUACGUGGAUUUAACGGGGGUCGAUUUCUUUAUUUUUUAUUUCAUCGUUAUUUCCUCGUCUUCUUACGAGUGCUUUACGACGAUUCUCUCUUACGUGGAAUUAACGAGGCAUGCGUCGUAAGUUCGACGUCGCUUUACGAGGAAUUAACGAGUGUUAUGUUUAAAACCCUAAAAUCCGAAACCCCAAACCCCAUAUUCCUUAUUUUCUACUUCAUAUAUUCCAAACCCCAUCUUUAUUUCCAUUCAACCACAAUUCC
RNAcentral lists this long non-coding RNA (1042 nucleotides) under Brassica napus (rape). RNAcentral describes it as "long non-coding RNA (BNAP_LNC014118)". The record is from RNAcentral. Lineage: Eukaryota; Viridiplantae; Streptophyta; Magnoliopsida; Brassicales; Brassicaceae.